RNAcentral lists this ribosomal RNA (690 nucleotides) under Pseudomonas oryzihabitans. RNAcentral describes it as "bacterial SSU rRNA". It matches the Rfam family "Bacterial small subunit ribosomal RNA", at positions 84 to 770 of the family's 1533-position model. Lineage: Bacteria; Pseudomonadati; Pseudomonadota; Gammaproteobacteria; Pseudomonadales; Pseudomonadaceae. The record is from RNAcentral.
UCCUCGAUUCAGCGGCGGACGGGUGAGUAAUGCCUAGGAAUCUGCCCAGUAGUGGGGGACAACGUUUCGAAAGGAACGCUAAUACCGCAUACGUCCUACGGGAGAAAGUGGGGGAUCUUCGGACCUCACGCUAUUGGAUGAGCCUAGGUCGGAUUAGCUAGUUGGUAGGGUAAAGGCCUACCAAGGCGACGAUCCGUAACUGGUCUGAGAGGAUGAUCAGUCACACUGGAACUGAGACACGGUCCAGACUCCUACGGGAGGCAGCAGUGGGGAAUAUUGGACAAUGGGCGAAAGCCUGAUCCAGCCAUGCCGCGUGUGUGAAGAAGGCCCUCGGGUCGUAAAGCACUUUAAGUUGGGAGGAAGGGCUUACAGCGAAUACCUGUGAGUUUUGACGUUACCAACAGAAUAAGCACCGGCUAACUUCGUGCCAGCAGCCGCGGUAAUACGAAGGGUGCAAGCGUUAAUCGGAAUUACUGGGCGUAAAGCGCGCGUAGGUGGCUUGAUAAGUUGGAUGUGAAAUCCCCGGGCUCAACCUGGGAACUGCAUCCAAAACUGUCUGGCUAGAGUGCGGUAGAGGGUAGUGGAAUUUCCAGUGUAGCGGUGAAAUGCGUAGAUAUUGGAAGGAACACCAGUGGCGAAGGCGACUACCUGGACUGACACUGACACUGAGGUGCGAAAGCGUGGGGAGCA